CCAACUGCAGCUGGCGGCGGCGCCAUUUUGAACGUGCGGCUCCCGCGGGCGUGAGUCACCGGAGGUCGUCUCGGUCCUCUCCUCGCUCGCGUGCCCAGCUCUAUGUAGAGUCGUCCACGCCCCGAGAGCGAGGCCCGCCACCGGUAUCUGAGGCGAACGCGUUGAGAUGAUGCUAAGGGGCAACCUGAAGCAAGUGCGCAUUGAGAAAAACCCUGCCCGCCUUCGCGCCCUCGAGUCGGCGGCGGGAGAGACGGAGCUCGCGCCGGCCAUGGCGCUGACGCUGGCCGGGGAGUCGGCGCCGGCCUCCGCCGCGGCCGCCGACGACCACCCCGAGGAGGAGGUGGGCUUCACCAUCGACAUCAAGAGCUUCCUCAAGCCGGGCGAGAAGACGUACACGCAGCGCUGUCGCCUGUUCGUGGGCAACCUGCCCACCGACAUCACGGAGGAGGACUUCAAGCGUCUGUUCGAGCGCUAUGGCGAGCCCAGCGAGGUCUUCAUCAACCGCGACCGCGGCUUCGGUUUCAUCCGCCUGGAAUCCAGAACACUGGCUGAGAUUGCCAAAGCAGAGCUGGACGGCACCAUUUUGAAGAGCCGGCCUCUCCGAAUUCGGUUUGCUACACACGGAGCAGCCCUGACUGUCAAGAAUCUUUCUCCGGUUGUUUCCAACGAGCUUCUCGAACAAGCGUUUUCCCAGUUUGGUCCAGUUGAGAAAGCUGUUGUGGUCGUGGACGACCGUGGAAGAGCUACUGGAAAAGGUUUUGUAGAAUUCGCUGCAAAACCGCCUGCGCGGAAGGCUUUGGAGAGAUGUGGAGACGGGGCGUUCCUGCUGACCACGACUCCUCGCCCUGUGAUUGUAGAGCCUAUGGAGCAGUUUGAUGAUGAAGAUGGCUUGCCAGAAAAGCUAAUGCAGAAAACGCAACAAUAUCAUAAGGAAAGAGAGCAGCCACCACGUUUUGCUCAACCUGGAACGUUUGAGUUUGAAUAUGCGUCUCGAUGGAAGGCCCUGGAUGAAAUGGAGAAACAGCAGCGUGAACAGGUGGAUAGAAACAUCCGCGAAGCCAAAGAGAAGCUAGAGGCAGAGAUGGAGGCAGCUCGGCAUGAACACCAGCUGAUGCUAAUGAGGCAAGAUCUGAUGAGACGUCAAGAAGAACUUAGGCGCUUGGAAGAACUUCGAAACCAAGAGCUGCAAAAACGGAAACAGAUACAGUUGAGGCAUGAGGAGGAGCAUCGUCGUCGCGAGGAGGAAAUGAUCCGCCACAGGGAACAGGAGGAGCUGAGACGGCAGCAAGAGGGAUUUAAACCCAACUAUAUGGAAAAUGGUGGUGCACGAAAGCAGGGCUGAAGCGACGCAUGCUCACCAGCUUCCAGAGAAAUUUUAAAGAGCCUGAAAAGCAAGAGAGCUGAACACAUGUAUUCAGGCAUGAAGCGACCCCAGGGAAGGGUCACGCCUGCCCAGAGCUCAUCCUGUGGACAGGACGCGCUGUGACGGACUGGGUCUGAGAGAUGAUGCCAAAAGGAAAGUGUGUCAGUGACUAAAAGAUACCAAAUUACCGGGUGUCAUGAGGCAUGAACGUAACUCAGAGAAUGAACUUGCAUAAACUAUAGUACAUCCACACAAUGAAAUGUCAGCAUCACAGAGAUGAGCUGUGUAUGAAGCCGUGAGAAGACAUGGGAAGAACCCGUGCCCUUCACUAACUGGAAGAAGCCAUUUGCAGCCGUGGAAUGAUGCCUCACGCCCGUCACUCUGGAAGAGGCUUUUCAAAAGCAAACAAGGACAGGGGUUGCUAGGACGCAGGGGGCCGGGGGGAACUGAGGAAGUGCAGCGGAUUCCUUACACUGCAGCAGUGAACACACACUUCAGUGCACACUUGUCUAAAACCACAGAACACAACACCAAGAGUGACCGUAUGCCUUGAAGACUGCCACUGUGCCCAGGGACACCGGGACGGGGGCCAGCCGUGUGCGCACCGAGGGGCACUUGGGAAAUCUCUGGACCUUCCUUUACUUCAAGACGAGAAGACACCAAAGGCACAGCAGACUACGUGGUUGAAGGACAUAUUCCCAGAUAUGCUAGUGGUAGCUUCGAAAUUUUCUGAGAUUUUAAUAAUUAAAAAAAAAAAAUUAGUAAAAUGUCACUUACUAAAAGCUCAUGAUCUUCUUGUCCCAAAGGGGGGACAUGGACCAUUCUAAGUGUGUGUUCAAAUAAAUAGAUACAUCAUCACUGUGACUUAACCAUGGCAGUCAUUUCACACUUACGUCUCCAAGUGACUCUUGAGCAAAUCAUACACAAGCACGUUGUUGCUUUGCUUAGCAAAAUGCAAAGCACUGUUUUGAUGCUUUGAUAAAAUAUUGCAGUCUGCUCCACAUUCAAUUACAAGUCGUACAAUAUCGGAAUUUCCCCUUUUACAGGCCUAGGUUUGUGGAAAGGAAAAAGAAUAGUUAUUUAACUGGUUAUUUACAUACCAAGUGGAACCGCAUACUCCAGGCAGUUCUCUGCGAAGGGGGACAGAGGCACAGAACGCUGGGGUGAGGCUUGUGCAAGUGUCAGAACCUGCAGAGUCCCACAGUUCAGUGAAUGGCAGGUCCUGUGAGGGCGCUACAUUCAGUCAAGGUCAGUGACUAACCUUGAAGAAAUGGGCAAUCUCAAAAAGGAUCCUUCAGUCCCAAGAUGAGCCUGAGGCCUUC
Molecule: RNA transcript, 2685 nt
Organism: Ochotona curzoniae (black-lipped pika)
Lineage: Eukaryota; Metazoa; Chordata; Mammalia; Lagomorpha; Ochotonidae
Gene: PSPC1
Gene name: paraspeckle component 1
Exons: 8
Source: RefSeq, a predicted model, not a curated record